Salvia miltiorrhiza (redroot sage) is the source of this 679-nucleotide long non-coding RNA. RefSeq lists it as uncharacterized. NCBI's taxonomy places the organism in Eukaryota, Viridiplantae, Streptophyta, Magnoliopsida, Lamiales, Lamiaceae. The record is from RefSeq and is a predicted model, not a curated record. The transcript is spliced from 2 exons.
AUAAAUAAAUGUACAUAUAUAAACCGACUUGGUGUCAGCAACCUUAUUCUCAUUCUCGGCGAAUCUGAUCACCACGCGAGCAGAGCCCGAGCAUGAUCAUAAUUCAAAGCAUUAUAGUUCUAUUUUAGAGAAUAAUAAUUUGUAUUAUUAAUUGCCCAAAUAUUGGAUAUAUCACUGCGAGUUUUGCAACUAUGUUGUGCAGCUCAACUGCGCCUUCAACAAGUGCCCCACGCCACUAGAAGAAAUGAAGGGAUUAUGGAGUUUUCAAUAAGUGAUGUGGGUAAGGAGCUGAUUGGAGUUUUUGUAAAGAGACAAGGAGAAGCUAUGUCAAUACCUCAAGAUGAUGUCAAUUAUGAGUUCCACAAUCACUAAUAUGGAUUAGUCUCAUCAUCUCCAGAAAAGAAGACGAAAAUAGUGAUGAUGAUGAUGGGGAAGACAACUAUGGUCGUCAAAAGUCGGAAUCUUGAGGCGCCUGCUUUGGAUCUCAAACACUGGCUCUCGCUUGAAGGGAUCUUGAGAUGAUGAACUUGUUGUGUUGGUGGCUUCUGCCCCUGUGAUUUCUUUUUCCUUUUUUUGGCCUGCUUGCUGCCUGUACUAUCUUUCUUGGUACUUCUUGUACCAUUUUCAGUUAUUUAAUCUUGCGUUUUUUCUGAUAAAAAAAAAACUAUGGUCAUCAAAA